CAAAGAAUGAAAUUUUCACAUAUAAAGAAAUAAAAAAAAAUACAUUUAUUACAUUCAGAGUAACAAAAUUAUGGCUAAAGUUUACAUGUUUGUUUAUGCUUUGAUUAUCUUUGUUUCUCCGUUUCUUCUUGCAACCUUCAGAACUCGCCUUCCUUGUGAAAAAGAUGAUGAUUGUCCAGAGGCAUUUUUACCUCCAGUUAUGAAGUGUGUUAAUCGUUUUUGUCAGUACGAGAUACUUGAAUAAUUAAGUUUAAAAAUAAUUGUAUUACCACUAAAAGUAUCGUUUUAAUUUGUAUUUAUAUGUCAUAAUGUUUGUACCUUUACUAUAUACCUCAAAAUUUAAUCUAUGUUUUUCUGCCCUUCAAUUUUUAUGACAAGCUCAGAAGUGUAUUAUUAUAUAGGUCAUGUUAACUUGUGCCUUAAGGGUACGUUUGGUUUGCAAAACAGUAAGUACUGGACAGAAGAGUACAAUGCAGAACAGCACAACACAAGACAUAACAACACAUGACAAAUUUUUAUGAUAUUGAAUAAUUUCUUGUUUUAUAUGAUUUUUGGAUGACAAAAUGUUAUUUUGGUGUUUUA
Long non-coding RNA from Medicago truncatula (barrel medic), 582 nucleotides. RefSeq lists it as uncharacterized. The transcript has 2 exons. Lineage: Eukaryota; Viridiplantae; Streptophyta; Magnoliopsida; Fabales; Fabaceae. The record is from RefSeq and is a predicted model, not a curated record.